CCAGCUUCUUUCUUAGGCUGUUGGUGUUGAUUAUUCUAAUUACUUCACUGAGGUAAGAGCUGAACUGUACAAACUGUAUAACAAGUAUGAAAACAAGUAUGGUGCAGUUAGGUUGCAGAGGCCCUCCAACAUAUCAGGAUCAUCUGGUAAGAAAAAAAUACUUGGGGUAAGAUAUAUGGAGCUGCUGGUACAAGUCCCUCUUCUCCUGCUCUUGCAUCUACAUCUUCUUCUGCAGUAUCUGUGCCUCUUGUUUCAGAGUUGGCUUCCUACUUGGACAGCGACACUGUCACCUACUUUGAUGAUGAUUUUGACAUAUUAAUUUGGUGGCAUGAGCACAAACUGACAUAUCCCAUUCUGUCUAUACUAGCAAAAGAUGUUAUGUCUGUUCCAAUUUCUACUGUCUCUUCGGAAUCUUGCUUUAGUCUCACUGGCAGGGUGAUCGAGGAGCGUCGACGAUGCUUGGCGCCUCAUAAUGUGGAGUACUUGACCUGUGUCAAGGACUGGGAAGCUGCUGAUGCAAGGGCGCAGCAUGAUGUCGAGAAGUUGACGCGAGAUUUGGAGUUAAAGUUUGGCAUCAAGGACAAUGCUGAAGGGCAGGCUGCUGGAAAUGAGUCUGUCCCUGCCAAUGGCUAGUCAUGAGAAGUGAAGGCAAGGGGCAAGGCUGGGCCUAGGCAAGAGGCCAGCAGCAUCACCAAGUCAGCAGUAGUGUUUUGCAAUUUGAUCUUCUGUUUGUAAUGUACUAAUGAGUCUGCUGAACUUGAACAAUGUGAUGUAAUUUUGAACAAUUAUAGAGUUGGGCU
Molecule: long non-coding RNA, 800 nt
Organism: Panicum virgatum (switchgrass)
Lineage: Eukaryota; Viridiplantae; Streptophyta; Magnoliopsida; Poales; Poaceae
Exons: 2
Source: RefSeq, a predicted model, not a curated record